UACGUAGGGUGCAAGCGUUGUCCGGAAUUAUUGGGCGUAAAGAGCUCGUAGGCGGUCUGUUGCGUCGGCUGUGAAAACCCGGGGCUCAACCCCGGGCCUGCAGCCGAUACGGGCAGACUAGAGUUCGGCAGGGGAGACUGGAAUUCCUGGUGUAGCGGUGAAAUGCGCAGAUAUCAGGAGGAACACCGGUGGCGAAGGCGGGUCUCUGGGCUGAUACUGACGCUGAGGUGCGAAAGCGUGGGGAGCAAACAGG
This 253-nucleotide ribosomal RNA is filed under the name uncultured bacterium. Its description in RNAcentral is "partial 16S ribosomal RNA". It matches the Rfam family "Bacterial small subunit ribosomal RNA", at positions 524 to 776 of the family's 1533-position model. The record is from RNAcentral.